Molecule: ribosomal RNA, 453 nt
Filed under: uncultured bacterium
Lineage: Bacteria
Description: bacterial SSU rRNA
Rfam family: Bacterial small subunit ribosomal RNA
Source: RNAcentral
CUAUACGACCGAGAGGUGAAAGAUUUAUCGGUGAUGGAUGAGCCCGCGUUGGAUUAACUAGUUGGUGGGGUAAAGGCCUACCAAGGCGACGAUCCAUAGCUGGUCUGAGAGGAUGAUCAGCCACACUGGGACUGAGACNCGGCCCAGACUCCUACGGGAGGCAGCAGUGGGGAAUAUUGGACAAUGGGCGCAAGCCUGAUCCAGCCAUNCCGCNUGAGUGAUGAAGGCCCUAGGGUUGUAAAGCUCUUUCNCCGGUGAAGAUAAUGACGGUAACCGGAGAAGAAGCCCCGGCUAACUUCGUGCCAGCAGCCGCGGUAAUACGAAGGGGGCUAGCGUUGUUCGGAUUUACUGGGCGUAAAGCGCACGUAGGCGGGCUAAUAAGUCAGGGGUGAAAUCCCGGGGCUCAACCCCGGAACUGCCUUUGAUACUGUUAGUCUUGAGUAUGGAAGAGGU